GAAAGCCGUGUUGCGGGAGAACCGUACGCACGGUUCGGAGGGAGGGGCAGCUAAAACCGUCCCUACCCCAU
RNAcentral lists this non-coding RNA (71 nucleotides) under Candidatus Kentrum eta. The record is from RNAcentral. Lineage: Bacteria; Pseudomonadati; Pseudomonadota; Gammaproteobacteria.